GUGCUCGCUUCCACAGCACAUACACUAAAAUUGGAACGACACAGAGGAGAUUAGCAUGACCCCCGCACAAGGAUGACGUGCAAAUUCCUGAAGUGUGCCAUAUUUAA
Ailuropoda melanoleuca (giant panda) is the source of this 107-nucleotide small nuclear RNA. The record is from Ensembl. Lineage: Eukaryota; Metazoa; Chordata; Mammalia; Carnivora; Ursidae.